Long non-coding RNA from Vicia villosa (hairy vetch), 316 nucleotides. RefSeq lists it as uncharacterized. The record is from RefSeq and is a predicted model, not a curated record. The transcript has 3 exons. NCBI's taxonomy places the organism in Eukaryota, Viridiplantae, Streptophyta, Magnoliopsida, Fabales, Fabaceae.
UUUUUGUGGCUUCAAUUUCCUGUAGGUUUCCAUACUACCGACGUCACGAAAGGGAGUUGCAUUUUUGGUGGCAUGUAAAUGUUAUAUUUAUUCUGCACAACUUCUAACAAGCCAUGGACAUCCCGGAGAUUCCACAUCACAGCUUCAAUUUCAAGCCAUUUGGAGAUUUCUUAAAUGGGGAUUUUGAAGUCGACCGCUUAUAUGAUAUGAUUGGUGUUCUCCACCAAAUUCACAGGACCCAAGUUGUUGGAGCUGGCUAAAAGGCUUGCAUCAUCCUUACAUUAUACGAUGAAAGGUUUAUUACAAUUCAUUUCCA